RNAcentral lists this unclassified non-coding RNA (337 nucleotides) under soil metagenome. RNAcentral describes it as "partial contains 5.8S ribosomal RNA, internal transcribed spacer 2, and large subunit ribosomal RNA". The stretch from base 1 to 120 matches the Rfam family "5.8S ribosomal RNA", at positions 35 to 154 of the family's 154-position model. The record is from RNAcentral.
GAUGAAGAACGUAGCGAAAUGCGAUAAGUAAUGUGAAUUGCAGAAUCCAGUGAAUCAUCGAAUCUUUGAACGCACAUUGCGCCCGCCAGUAUUCUGGCGGGCAUGCCUGUUCGAGCGUCAUUUCAACCAUCAAGCCCCCGGGCUUGUGUUGGGGACCUGCGGCUGCCGCAGGCCCUGAAAAGCAGUGGCGGGCUCGCUGUCACACCGAGCGUAGUAGAUUUUAUCUCGCUCUGGGCGUGCUGCGGGUUCCGGCCGUUAAACCACCCUUUUAACCCAAGGUUGACCUCGGAUCAGGUAGGAAGACCCGCUGAACUUAAGCAUAUCAAUAAGCGGAGGA